Molecule: ribosomal RNA, 1474 nt
Filed under: Clostridioides difficile
Lineage: Bacteria; Bacillati; Bacillota; Clostridia; Peptostreptococcales; Peptostreptococcaceae
Description: bacterial LSU rRNA
Rfam family: Bacterial large subunit ribosomal RNA
Source: RNAcentral
CCUGUACUACCGAUAACCGUUUGAGAGAAGGGAUGACACAGUAGGAUAAGCUAAGCACACUGUUGGUUAUGUGUGCCCAAGCAUUGAGGCAGUCAAAGUAGGCAAAUCCGCUUUGAUAAUGCUGGGAUGUGAUGGGGAGCGAAAUUUAGUAGCGAAGUAGCUGAUUUCACACUGUCAAGAAAAGUCUCUAUCGAGGUUAAAGGUACCCGUACCGCAAACCGACACAGGUGGGUGAGGAGAGUAUCCUAAGGCCAGCGAGAGAACUGUUGUUAAGGAACUCGGCAAAAUGACCCCGUAACUUAGGGAUAAGGGGUGCCACCAUCAGGUGGCCGCAGAGAAUAGGCCCAAGCGACUGUUUACCAAAACAUAGGUUUCUGCUAAGUCGCAAGACGAUGUAUAGGAGCUGACGCCUGCCCGGUGCUGGAAGGUUAAGGGGAUCUGUUAGAGCAAUCGAAGCAGUGAACUUAAGCCCCAGUAAACGGCGGCCGUAACUAUAACGGUCCUAAGGUAGCGAAAUUCCUUGUCGGGUAAGUUCCGACCCGCACGAAAGGCGUAACGAUUUGGGCACUGUCUCAACAACAGACUCGGUGAAAUUGUAAUUCCGGUGAAGAUGCCGGAUACCUGCGACAGGACGGAAAGACCCCAUGGAGCUUUACUGUAGCUUGACAUUGGGUCUUGGUACUACAUGUACAGGAUAGGUGGGAGGCUUUGAAACCAGGACGCCAGUUUUGGCGGAGCCAUCCUUGGGAUACCACCCUUGUAGUACUGGGACUCUAACCAUAGGCCAUGAAUCUGGUCUUGGGACACUGUCAGGUGGGCAGUUUGACUGGGGCGGUCGCCUCCCAAAAGGUAACGGAGGCGCUCAAAGGUUCUCUCAGUACGGUCGGAAAUCGUACGUAGAGUGUAAAGGCAAAAGAGAGCUUGAUUGCAAGACAUACAGGUCGAGCAAGGAUGAAAAUCGGACUUAGUGAUCCGGUGGUUCUGCGUGGAAGGGCCAUCGCUCAACGGAUAAAAGCUACCCUGGGGAUAACAGGCUUAUCUCCCCCAAGAGUCCACAUCGACGGGGAGGUUUGGCACCUCGAUGUCGGCUCAUCACAUCCUGGGGCUGUAGUAGGUCCCAAGGGUUGGGCUGUUCGCCCAUUAAAGUGGUACGCGAGCUGGGUUCAGAACGUCGUGAGACAGUUCGGUCCCUAUCCGUCGCAGGCGUAGGAAAUUUGAGAAGACCUGUCCUUAGUACGAGAGGACCGGGAUGGACGUACCUCUGGUGUACCAGUUGUCCUGCCAAGGGCAUGGCUGGGUAGCUAUGUACGGAAUGGAUAAGCGCUGAAAGCAUCUAAGCGCGAAGCCAACUUCAAGAUAAGAUUUCCCACCGCAAGGGUAAGACCCCAGAAAGACUAUCUGGUUGAUAGGUCGAAGGUGUAAGUGCAGCAAUGUAUUUAGCUUAUCGAUACUAAUAGGUCGAGGACUUGACCAA